GGAAAAUCCGUCGACUUUAUAAAUCGGAGGGUUCAAGUCCCUCUAUCCC
This 49-nucleotide transfer RNA is filed under the name Bowkeria verticillata. RNAcentral describes it as "partial transfer RNA-Leu". The record is from RNAcentral. Lineage: Eukaryota; Viridiplantae; Streptophyta; Magnoliopsida; Lamiales; Stilbaceae.